UACAGAGGGCUCAAGCGUUGUCCGGAAUUAUUGGGCGUAAAGCGCGCGCAGGCGGUCCUUUAAGUCUGAUGUGAAAGCCCACGGCUCAACCGUAGAGGGUCAUUGGAAACUGGAGGACUUGAGUACAGAAGAGGAAAGCGGAAUUCCACGUGUAGCGGUGAAAUGCGUAGAGAUGUGGAGGAACACCAGUGGCGAAGGCGGCUUUCUGGUCUGUAACUGACGCUGAGGCGCGAAAGCGUGGGGAGCAAACAGG
This 253-nucleotide ribosomal RNA is filed under the name uncultured bacterium. RNAcentral describes it as "partial 16S ribosomal RNA". It matches the Rfam family "Bacterial small subunit ribosomal RNA", at positions 524 to 776 of the family's 1533-position model. The record is from RNAcentral.